AUGCUUCUAAUACCACAUAUACUGAAAUUGGAAUAAUGCAGAGAAGAUUAAUACGGCCCCUGUGCAAAGACAACAUGUUUCUAUAUUAAGAUUGACACUUCAUC
Small nuclear RNA from Heteronotia binoei (common prickly gecko), 104 nucleotides. Lineage: Eukaryota; Metazoa; Chordata; Lepidosauria; Squamata; Gekkonidae. The record is from RefSeq and is a predicted model, not a curated record.